AGAGUUUGAUCCUGGCUCAGAUUGAACGCUGGCGGCAUGCCUUUACACAUGCAAGUCGAACGGCAGCACGGGAGCAAUCCUGGUGGCGAGUGGCGAACGGGUGAGUAAUAUAUCGGAACGUGCCCAGUCGUGGGGGAUAACGCAGCGAAAGCUGUGCUAAUACCGCAUACGAUCUAUGGAUGAAAGCGGGGGAUCGCAAGACCUCGCGCGAUUGGAGCGGCCGAUAUCAGAUUAGCUAGUUGGUGGGGUAAAAGCCCACCAAGGCGACGAUCUGUAGCUGGUCUGAGAGGACGACCAGCCACACUGGAACUGAGACACGGUCCAGACUCCUACGGGAGGCAGCAGUGGGGAAUUUUGGACAAUGGGCGCAAGCCUGAUCCAGCAAUGCCGCGUGCAGGAUGAAGGCCUUCGGGUUGUAAACUGCUUUUGUACGGAACGAAACGGCUCCUUUUAAUACAAGGGGCUAAUGACGGUACCGUAAGAAUAAGCACCGGCUAACUACGUGCCAGCAGCCGCGGUAAUACGUAGGGUGCGAGCGUUAAUCGGAAUUACUGGGCGUAAAGCGUGCGCAGGCGGUUUUGUAAGACAAAUGUGAAAACCCCGGGCUCAACCUGGGAACUGCAUAUGUGACUGCAAGGCUAGAGUACGGUAGAGGGGGAUGGAAUUCCGCGUGUAGCAGUGAAAUGCGUAGAUAUGCGGAGGAACACCGAUGGCGAAGGCAAUCCCCUGGACCUGUACUGACGCUCAUGCACGAAAGCGUGGGGAGCAAACAGGAUUAGAUACCCUGGUAGUCCACGCCCUAAACGAUGUCAACUGGUUGUUGGGUCUUCACUGACUCAGUAACGAAGCUAACGCGUGAAGUUGACCGCCUGAGGAGUACGGCCGCAAGGUUG
RNAcentral lists this ribosomal RNA (893 nucleotides) under uncultured beta proteobacterium. Its description in RNAcentral is "bacterial SSU rRNA". It matches the Rfam family "Bacterial small subunit ribosomal RNA", at positions 8 to 896 of the family's 1533-position model. Lineage: Bacteria; Pseudomonadati; Pseudomonadota; Betaproteobacteria. The record is from RNAcentral.